CAAGUCGAACGCGGUUACCCCGCAAGGGGUAACUGAGUGGCGAACGGGUGAGUAACACGUGGGUGACCUACCUUCGAGUGGGGGAUAACGUCCCGAAAGGGACGCUAAUACCGCAUAACAUCCUGCCUUUGAACAGGUGGAGAUCAAAGCCGGGGACCGCAAGGCCCGGCGCUUGAUGAGGGGCCCGCGUCCGAUUAGCUAGUUGGUGGGGUAAUGGCUCACCAAGGCAACGAUCGGUAGCCGGCCUGAGAGGGCGGACGGCCACACUGGGACUGAGACACGGCCCAGACUCCUACGGGAGGCAGCAGUGGGGAAUUGUUCGCAAUGGGCGCAAGCCUGACGACGCAACGCCGCGUGGAGGAUGAAGGUCUUCGGAUUGUAAACUCCUGUUGCCCGGGACGAAUGGCUCCGACCUAAUACGUCGGAGUGUGACGGUACCGGGUGAGGAAGCCCCGGCUAACUCUGUGCCAGCAGCCGCGGUAAUACAGAGGGGGCAAGCGUUGUUCGGAAUUACUGGGCGUAAAGGGCGCGUAGGCGGCCUGUUAAGUCGAACGUGAAAUCCCCGGGCUCAACCCGGGAACUGCGUCCGAUACUGGCAGGCUUGAAUCCGGGAGAGGGAUGCGGAAUUCCAGGUGUAGCGGUGAAAUGCGUAGAUAUCUGGAGGAACACCGGUGGCGAAGGCGGCAUCCUGGACCGGUAUUGACGCUGAUGCGCGAAAGCCAGGGGAGCAAACGGGAUUAGAUACCCCGGUAGUCCUGGCCCUAAACGAUGAAUGCUUGGUGUGGCGGGUAUCGAUCCCUGCCGUGCCGAA
RNAcentral lists this ribosomal RNA (811 nucleotides) under uncultured Acidobacteriota bacterium. RNAcentral describes it as "bacterial SSU rRNA". It matches the Rfam family "Bacterial small subunit ribosomal RNA", at positions 58 to 850 of the family's 1533-position model. Lineage: Bacteria; Pseudomonadati; Acidobacteriota. The record is from RNAcentral.